CAAGCGAAAAAGUUUUUUCGAGCACUUCGGUUCAGUUUGGACUUGCCUUUGACCGCGUGCGGACGGCGAUGCCAGCGAGUUGUUGUUUUGUCGGCUUCCACUGACACUCUGUGCAGUGUCUCUCUGUCUGUGUGUAACGAAAUACGAAAUAUACGUUGAACUGAGAGUUUCCCCCAACAAAAUGAAAUAAAUAUUUGAGAAUUCAUUAAAUCUGUUUGAAAUUUACGAUUUUUAUAAAAAAAA
Long non-coding RNA from Drosophila navojoa, 243 nucleotides. The record is from RefSeq and is a predicted model, not a curated record. NCBI's taxonomy places the organism in Eukaryota, Metazoa, Arthropoda, Insecta, Diptera, Drosophilidae.